This 497-nucleotide ribosomal RNA is filed under the name uncultured bacterium. RNAcentral's name for it is "partial 16S ribosomal RNA". It matches the Rfam family "Bacterial small subunit ribosomal RNA", at positions 28 to 507 of the family's 1533-position model. The record is from RNAcentral.
GAUGAACGCUGGCGGCGUGCCUAAUACAUGCAAGUCGAGCGAACAGAUGAGGAGCUUGCUCCUCUGACGUUAGCGGCGGACGGGUGAGUAACACGUGGAUAACCUACCUAUAAGACUGGGAUAACUUCGGGAAACCGGAGCUAAUACCGGAUAAUAUAUUGAACCGCAUGGUUCAAUAGUGAAAGACGGUUUUGCUGUCACUUAUAGAUGGAUCCGCGCCGCAUUAGCUAGUUGGUAAGGUAACGGCUUACCAAGGCAACGAUGCGUAGCCGACCUGAGAGGCAGAUCGGCCACACUGGGACUGAGACAGGAUCCAGACUCCUACGGGAGGCAGCAGUAGGGAAUCUUCCGCAAUGGGCGAAAGCCUGACGGAGCAACGCCGCGUGAGUGAUGAAGGUCUUCGGAUCGUAAAACUCUGUUAUUAGUGAAGAACAAAUGUGUAAGUAACUAUGCACGUCUUGACGGUACCUAAUCAAAAAGCCACGGCUAACUACGUG